GAUGAACGCUGGCGGCGUGCUUAACACAUGCAAGUCGAACGGGAUCCAUCAGGCUUUGCUUGGUGGUGAGAGUGGCGAACGGGUGAGUAAUGCGUGACCGACCUGCCCCAUACACCGGAAUAGCUCCUGGAAACGGGUGGUAAUGCCGGAUGCUCCGACUCCUCGCAUGGGGUGUCGGGAAAGAUUCAUCGGUAUGGGAUGGGGUCGCGUCCUAUCAGGUAGUCGGCGGGGUAACGGCCCACCGAGCCUACGACGGGUAGCCGGCCUGAGAGGGCGACCGGCCACAUUGGGACUGAGAUACGGCCCAGACUCCUACGGGAGGCAGCAGUGGGGAAUAUUGCACAAUGGGCGCAAGCCUGAUGCAGCGACGCCGCGUGCGGGAUGACGGCCUUCGGGUUGUAAACCGCUUUUGAUCGGGAGCAAGCCUUCGGGUGAG
Molecule: ribosomal RNA, 436 nt
Filed under: uncultured bacterium
Lineage: Bacteria
Description: bacterial SSU rRNA
Rfam family: Bacterial small subunit ribosomal RNA
Source: RNAcentral